GUGGCUAUAGCUCAGUGGUAGAGCGCAUGCUUAGCAUGCACGAGGUCCUGGGUUCAAUCCCUGUAACUCCA
RNAcentral lists this transfer RNA (71 nucleotides) under Camelus bactrianus (Bactrian camel). It matches the Rfam family "tRNA". From Rfam's summary of the family: Transfer RNA (tRNA) molecules are approximately 80 nucleotides in length. The record is from Rfam by way of RNAcentral. RNAcentral also lists the same sequence under 3 other names. Lineage: Eukaryota; Metazoa; Chordata; Mammalia; Artiodactyla; Camelidae.